GGGAAGAAGAAAAGCCCUGCAAGGAAGGAGGGCUAUUGAUCGUGCUUGCAUUCUCACUACGCGCUGAUGAGGCUGAAAUUGGGCUGGAUCCUCUGCAGUCGGACACAUCUUAGGAGGACACAUCUAAUUCUUGGAAGCCUUUGGUAGGUCCUAGAGGGCUGAAUGGCCUGCUGUGGUCAUUCCUGCAGCUACAGGAACAGCCCAAUGAAUGAAAAGGCAUUUGGAGAGCUACAAGAUUCCUCGGACCCCUCUGGAGUUGCGUUACAGCACAGAGAAAGAAUGGAGACACAACCCUUAGCAAGUGAGGUCCUUCGCUGUGGACAUCAGAGAUCCUGAGGGAAGGAGGAAUCCAUCCAGUCCCUCUCAGGAAGAUCCAAGUCAGGACACCUCAGGAGGGAAGACUCGAACGAAGUUGUCUGCUCUUUCUGAUGGAGCUGAAACAGUGGCUGAACCUCAAGCUCAAGUAAGAGAAGGAAAUUUAUCUAUUAGAUUGUAUUCUCCCGUUCCUUCAGGAAGUCAAGCUGGUGAACACAGUGCUCUCUCCUUCCAUUUUUCCCCCUUUUGUGGGCCUGGGUGUUUUCUUGUCCUUGAGCAACAUUGAAUGGGGAA
Non-coding RNA from Python bivittatus (Burmese python), 609 nucleotides. Lineage: Eukaryota; Metazoa; Chordata; Lepidosauria; Squamata; Pythonidae. The record is from RefSeq and is a predicted model, not a curated record.